CUGCAAACAGCAAGUCUACUCACUUUGACUGAUGCAGAAGUUAUUGUUGGAUUUCUACUGUGAUCGAUUGAAAGAUCGGCAUGUUGUCAUUCCACAUGUUCUUGCUGGUCUUUGUUCAUUGGUACUGCAUCAUUCACUACCAGAUGGAGCUGUGAGGAAGAUUUGCUCUGCAAUUUAUAAGGAAGUUCACACACAAGGCUUGUCUCAAGGAGACAGACGGCACUUCUACAACAUAGCUGCUACUCUCUUAGAGAAUCCUGUUUACCAAGAAGAGCUGAAAACAUUUUCUCAAGACUUUGUAUUUGGGUUUAUCCAAGCCAUGGAUGGAGAACGGGAUCCGAGAAACUUGGUUUUAGCAUUUCAAUGUGUCAGAGCAAUUGCACAGAAGCUACCAUUUGAAAUGUUUGCUGAAGAUCUCUUUGAAGUGGUUGCUUGUUAUUUUCCAGUGGAAUUUACUCCUCCACCAGAUGAUCCCCAUGGCAUCACUAGAGAUGAUCUUGUUUCCAGUCUUAGACAGUGUUUGUCUGCUUCUAACAAGCUAAGCAAGUUUUGUCUUCCUUUGCUUCUUGAGAAAAUGGCAUCAAAUGUUAGAACAGCAAAACUGGAUUCACUGGAGACUUUGGUGGCAUGUGCUCAAACGUAUAAUGCUGAGGACUUUAGCUUGUUUUCUGAAGAAUUAUGGAGAGCAAUUAGGCAAGAGGUUUUUCAACCAGGGUUUGCAGAUGUUGAGGAAUCGGCAAUCAGUGCUUUACAAAUUAUAACAAGAAACAUGGCAUCUGGGCUUGUCACUCAUUCUGGCUCUUCAAAUGCAUUGGAUAAAUUUCUUCAGAUAAUUCUUAAAGAGUGCAUCGAGCAUCUGAAAGAGCCUUCACUUCGACUUAUCAAACCAAGUGGACGUGUACUGCAGGCUAUAGCAGCAGCUGCGGAUCCAACGUGUGUUGCUGUAUUGAGUGCUGCAAUGCCAGUGCUGUUAAGCAAAUACACUGAAACUAUGCAGGCUGUUCAUCAACGAAACCUUCUCGAAAUUGUUCUUUCUCUUUUGAAGGCAACUAUGAAGUUUUCUGAUUCUCUUGAUGUUACCAGUCCUCUGAUGCCAUUCAAGGAAUCUUUGAUGACUUUGUUUUACACAACUCUCAAUCACACGGAUGGUUCUGUGUGUUGUGUUGGAUUGUCUGGUCUUGCUGCAUUGUUGUCUCAGCCACAACUGUUGAUGCAAGAAGAAGAGUUGGCUAUUACACAUCACAUUACUCAGUUGCUGCUAGAAGAUGUUCAAGACAUUGUAAAGUCUGAGGCUCUCAAUGCUCUGUCUGUUGUUGGUCGCAAGUCACCAUUAGUUGUACAAAAGGAGACAUUGCCUAUUCUGUUAAAUCAUGAUUCUAAUUCAGCUGGUAAUACUGUCAAUACGCUGACUUGUCUGUCUGCUGUAUCUGUUCAUGUGGACAUUGUCCAAGUUACUGUUCCUGAAAUCUUGGCUCGAGUAGAUCUCUGUAGUCAAAGCGAUGAAAACCAGCAGCAGUUGACAUCGAUAGCAGUGUGUGCCUUUACAUCAUUAGCAUCUAUAGUGCAAGCUCACAUUCAUGAUGUUGAGAUAAUUGGAUAUAUAGAGCAGCAUUUAUUGCCACAUCUAAUAGCAAAGCCAGUCUAUGAAGCAACUCAAGAAUGUCCUGCUAAGUGGAAUAUCUAUGAUAAACUUGAAACACUUGCUGCUGUUUGUUCCUGUAUUAGAAAUGUGAUGUUAGCAUUAGAUGCAAGCUCUCAAGACAGAGUGGUUCAGUGUGUGUCAGACUUGUUUGUAAAUGGUAAAAGCACAAGGGCGAAUGUUUGGUUUAACUAUAAUCCAGUGCAAAGGUUUGAGCCCUUGAAGGCCAAUUCCACUUUUCAUCAAACUCAGUUGGUAUCCCUGCUAAUGGCAGUUGUGUGUCAUUGCAGUAAAGAUAUCCAUUUCGAGGAUGAACCAACACUUCUCAGACAACUGGUGUCAUUGGCUUGCACAUCUACACAUCAACCAACAUGCACUGCUGCGGCCAAAUGCUUAGCAGGACUAAUAAACAAGAUGGAGGAUGAAGAAGAGUUGCGUGUGUAUGUUGACCUUGUGUCAGAGAAUUUGUUUUCGUGGUCGAGUAGUGAUGAAAAUUGCUUUACUGCAAUUCAGCUAAAAGAACUUACUGUACUGUUGUGGUUGUGUAAAGCAUUAGUGAUGAGGUCACAUGAUUUAGCAAAACCAAUGGUUGAUAAGCUCAUUAGCUUGUUUUCAUCUCAACUUGGUGAAGCUGCAGCUGAUGGUUUCUGUAUUAUUUUGUCUGAUUGUCCAGACGUAAUGUCUAAUACAACAGUGUGUAAUAGUCGAUUGAUGUUUCGUCAGAAGUUUUUCAUUGAAACUGUGCCAAUACUAGUGGAUGGUUUUAAUAGAGCUCAAGGGAGCAAGAGUCCAUUUGUGAAGGCACUAUCGUAUGUUUUACAGUCUGUUCCCAAGCAAGUUCUUUUGGCAGAGUUACAACUGGUAAUGCCUCUUCUUAUCCAGUCCCUGUCUUUGCCUGAGUUAAGCUUGAAGACCUCAACACUUUCUACUCUUUGUUCACUUGUUCGUGAUGCUCCACUCAUUAUCAGUCAGCACUUGACUUCACUCAUGCCUUCUUUACUUUCAUUAGCACAACAACCUCAACAAAUGAAAGUGAGGAUAUCAGCUUUGCAGUGCCUAGGUUUAAUGACAGUUCUUCCACAUCACCUGGUUUUCCCAUUUCGAUUGAAAGUUAUCAGAGCAUUAGCUGCAACUCUUGAUGAUAAGAAACGACUGGUGAGGAAAGAAGCAGUCAAAUGUCGAGGAGAAUGGUUUCUGUUGGGUUCUGCUAAGCAAUAGGAAAGUCACCUAUUCACAUCUUGGAAGAGGACCAAUUUGAUGUCACGAAGAUUGAUAAACUUAAUUUAACAGUGAAUAUGACAUGUGAGUACAAUGUAGAGAUUCUUUCAUAAGGGAAAUGUGAUGGGAUCGGGAUCUCCUGCGCUGGUUAAUGUGACUUCAACCAUUACAUUUGGUUGACUGUAAUUAACGAUCUGUUUUACUUGAAGUACAGCAGGUUAUCAUACUGUCCAUCAUAUGACCUGCAAAACAAAGUAUGUGGUUCGUGAAGUUGCUUGAAGAAAUAGUAGAUGGCCUCUAUUGUUGCAAGGUAGUGACUUGGCUUACUCUGUUUUCUGAAGAGAAAGUGAAAUGAUCAUUUUGUUCACACAUCAGUUGCUAUGCUGGUUUGUUUGUCAGAGCAGUCGUGCAUUUUAGACAAUUUACAUUCCUCAAAAGACUGAACUGAAUCUUAAAAACUGAGUGUAGCUAUAAAUAUGAUACGCUGCCGUUCAGUAGGGAUCACAUGAUGUCACUAUUGAGUACAGUUGCCAGGGAGGGAACCCUUGCAUCCUUUGGACGGAUUGGGUCAACAGGCUUGGUGUAUACUAUCAGGGUGGGAAAGGAAAGUUGGUACACUUUAUUUCAUAUCUCAGAAUAUGAUCUGACAUGUUUUGAA
Molecule: RNA transcript, 3515 nt
Organism: Corticium candelabrum
Lineage: Eukaryota; Metazoa; Porifera; Homoscleromorpha; Homosclerophorida; Plakinidae
Gene name: MMS19 nucleotide excision repair protein homolog
Exons: 35
Source: RefSeq, a predicted model, not a curated record